UUUGACUAAGCAUUUUGAAUGAUGUUGGGAUAUGUUUAGCACAUUUUUAAUUGGUAUGCUCUUUGCAGACAUGACAAUAGGUAGAGGUAUUGCGGAUCAGCCUAGUGGUCAUAGUAGAGGGAGAGUUUCUGCUGGUACCCCUGUGAAUUCUAGAUCCUCUCCCUCUAGUCCGACUACCCGAUGAUGUCACAGGUUGGGAGUGCAUCGGACCAGCCAUUCAUCAUGGUCCCUAAUCCCAACUACGUCCCUACGUCCUACGGUGACACUGCCGCCUCCAUCUGCUUAGUAGCUCACUGUCUCGGCGACGCCACCUCCAACAACGGACACCGCGGCGCUGGAAUCCUCUCAUGGAAGCCAGUCAACUGAUGCCCCCACCACCUCGCAUCAUACAUAUGACGAUUUGACCUGAUGGCGGAACGACGAAAGUUUACACCAAACAACAACGCAUGUACUCGAGAUGACCAACAUCAUCAACUUGAUAUACGACCAUCCAUGGCCGAACCACAAAAAAGAUCCCCUUUGAGAUCAGAGAGUGGUGGUUUUAGAAGUGGACGCUAAACUUUAUAUAGGACAAGGAGCACGAUGCCCUCAUUAAGAAAAUAUACGACCAUCGAAUGGGUAAGCAGUUACAAUAGAUGCUGGAGGAUGUACGUGAACCACCUCACUUCUUGGCUUCGCCCAGAAAUCAAGAAGGCUAUGUACGUUUACUGGGCCGAUGAGAGGUUCAGGCAUCGGUGUCUCACAAAGAAAGCUAACAAAGUAUUAGCCAGGUGCUCCAAGUAUACCGGCGGCUCAACAACUAAGACCAGGCUGUUAUAAACCCAUUUCCUCAAUGCUUCUCUUCUAGCAUCUUUUGUCUUUUCUUGUUGGGCCUCUCAGUUUCCCCUUUGUUCAAAUGCUCAACUUCAUCAGUAUGCACCCAACAUGCAGCAGAGCUCAAUAUUUUUGGGGGAUAUUCAACAUUGAUAUUUUCAAACGACAGCUCAAAAUGAAUGGCUUUCCGAGUUUCUUGAUCA
Arachis duranensis is the source of this 1016-nucleotide long non-coding RNA. RefSeq lists it as uncharacterized. The record is from RefSeq and is a predicted model, not a curated record. The transcript is spliced from 4 exons. Lineage: Eukaryota; Viridiplantae; Streptophyta; Magnoliopsida; Fabales; Fabaceae.